AGCAGAAGCAGUAUCGCGGCUGGCCCCUAUGUCGGGCCGCUGGCUGAACCGGCUCGGGGCGGACGGGGCGCAGUGUGAGCCGCCAUGUUGUGCUUACCCCCUGCCCGCCUGGCAGCAGGGCCCCGUGGGCAGGUGCCUGUCCCUGGCGCGGCUGCCCCUGCACUGAGGCCCGAGGGAGGAAACACUUCGCUGGACGUGGUGCUGCUGCUGCUGCCCGAACGUCCGCGGCGCGGAGCUGCCCGGCUGGGCUCGUAUGUGCCCGACAGUGCCUUGCGUCGCUCACCCAGUCUCCACUCUUUUGGUCAAUGAAAACCCCCGGCCUAGGGAAAGGCCUUCGUGGGAUCCAGAGAAGAGAAAACAAUGCCAUCAAGGCAGCUGACCCCCUCUUCUGCACGAGAUGUUGGCGAUGACCCAGGCCAAUAUGUUUGUUUAUUAUGAGGGCUGUGUGAGAUUUAUGUCCUUAACUAGUUAUUUCCUUGCUGUGAAGUGCUAGACUAUGAGAAGUAAGUACAUAGUUGUCACUUAGCAACCUUAACUUUUGUUUGAAAGAAAGAGGAUUUGUUUUUGGAACAUUAGAAAUAAUAGGUUGUAUGGGUGUGUCAUAAACAGAUAGUUAAGGGUUAAUGUCUCUUUCACCUAUAAAGGGUUAACAAACAGUGACCUGCAAACACCUGACCAGAAGACCAAUCAGGAGACAAAAUACUUUCAAAUCUCGUGGAGGGAAGCCUUUGUUUGUGGGUUUGGGGUUUGGCUUUGUUCUCUCUGGGUCCUGGACGAGACUAGAGGUGCAACCAGGGUUCUGCCAAUCUCCCUGCUACAGUCUCUUAUCUAUUCAGAAUUGUAAGUAAGAAAAGGUGGUCAUAGUCUUUUAAUUUGUUUUUUUUUUUCAUUUACAUAUGUGUACUUGCUGGAAGUAGCUUAAAUUGUGUUUCUGCUGGAGAAAGUUUCUUUCUAUUGUUUAUAAGUUGAAAGACCCUGUAACUGUUUAUCAUCUAAAGUGCAGAGAUAAACCUUUUAUUUUUUUUCUUUCCUUUUUUAUUAAAAGUUUUGCUUUUAAGACCUGUUUGACUUUUUUCUCCUAGUUAAGGUUCAAGGGAAUUGGUGGGGAGAAGGGAAGGAUAAAUUUUCUCUUUGUGUUAUAUUCACGCAGCUUGUAUUGCCUCUGGGUGAGGGAGAAGGUAACACUCCUCUAGGUGUGGUGAUUCAAAAAGUUGAAUCAGGCAAUCUCCUAGUGUUCCCAGGGUGGGAAGGAGCUGGGAGGAAGAAGGGAGGGGGAAGGGAAUGGUUUAUUUCCCUUUGUUGUGAGACU
RNAcentral lists this long non-coding RNA (1309 nucleotides) under Gopherus agassizii (Agassiz's desert tortoise). RNAcentral describes it as "lncRNA (ENSGAGG00000011962.1)". Lineage: Eukaryota; Metazoa; Chordata; Testudines; Testudinidae. The record is from RNAcentral.